RNAcentral lists this ribosomal RNA (468 nucleotides) under uncultured bacterium. Its description in RNAcentral is "partial 16S ribosomal RNA". It matches the Rfam family "Bacterial small subunit ribosomal RNA", at positions 28 to 507 of the family's 1533-position model. The record is from RNAcentral.
GACGAACGCUGGCGGCGUGCUUAACACAUGCAAGUCGAACGGAAAGGCCCUGCUUUUGUGGGGUGCUCGAGUGGCGAACGGGUGAGUAACACGUGAGUAACCUGCCCUGGACUUUGGGAUAACGUCAGGAAACUGGGGCUAAUACCGGAUAGGAGCUCCUGCUGCAUGGUGGGGGUUGGAAAGUUUCGGCGGUUGGGGAUGGACUCGCGGCUUAUCAGCUUGUUGGUGGGGUAGUGGCUUACCAAGGCUUUGACGGGUAGCCGGCCUGAGAGGGUGACCGGCCACAUUGGGACUGAGAUACGGACCAGACUCCUACGGGAGGCAGCAGUGGGGAAUAUUGCACAAUGGGCGGAAGCCUGAUGCAGCAACGCCGCGUGCGGGAUGACGGCCUUCGGGUUGUAAACCGCUUUCGCCUGUGACGAAGCGUGAGUGACGGUAAUGGGUAAAGAAGCACCGGCUAACUACGUG